Molecule: small nucleolar RNA, 135 nt
Filed under: Castor canadensis (American beaver)
Lineage: Eukaryota; Metazoa; Chordata; Mammalia; Rodentia; Castoridae
Description: Small nucleolar RNA SNORA51 (ENSCCNG00000000793.1)
Rfam family: Small nucleolar RNA SNORA51
About the family: ACA51 is a member of the H/ACA class of snoRNA that guide the sites of modification of uridines to pseudouridines.
Source: Rfam by way of RNAcentral
GGCCUCCUGGUGCUUACCACAGGCUGUGUUAUUACGCUGACUAUACAGGAAGAGGAGGCAAAGCAAAUCUACCCCAUAUAUCUCCAUAUAUACCAGGUCCUGCACCUGGUCUGUAUUGUGAAUGGGGAGAAAAAU